RNAcentral lists this unclassified non-coding RNA (1275 nucleotides) under Hevea brasiliensis (rubber tree). The record is from RNAcentral. Lineage: Eukaryota; Viridiplantae; Streptophyta; Magnoliopsida; Malpighiales; Euphorbiaceae.
GGGAAAGAAUGCUGAUAUUUCUCAAGAGGCUGCUGAAAUCAUUGAUUAUACACAGAACUUUAAUCAGACAUCAGAAGAUGGCAUUAAAGAGUUGUUUCAAAGGAAAUAUGCUCUUGCAAUUAUUGUUGGAGUUGGGCUGAUGGCAGUUCUACAAUUUGGAGGGCUCAAUGGCUAUUCUUACUAUUUAAGCUCUAUUUUAGAAUCAGCUGGUUUCCCUAGUAGUGUUGGGUCUGUAGCAGCAAGUAUUGUUCAGAUAGUGAUGAAUAUUUGCAGCUUGUUCUUAAUUGAUAAAUUUGGAAGAAGACCACUUCUACUGGUUUCUACAAGUGGAUGCUGCUUAGGUUCACUUGUAACAGGAUUGUCCUUUCUAUUGCAGGGCUAUCACCUAGGGAAAGAAAUCACUCCCAUUCUGGCACUUGCAGGAAUAUUGGUGAUACGAUUCGGCCAGAACAUAUGGUUUUUGCACUUGUUAGUUGAAAUAUUAUUAGACAAAUAAGCAUCGAAAUUUUGAUUCUGCAAUCAGGUAUUUAUAGGUUCUGUGUCAAUAGGCCUGGGAGGAAUACCAUGGAUUAUGGUGGCAGAGGUAUAGUAACAUAUUUUGCCUCUGAAACAUGUGAGGUGGCUAACAUUUGCAGCUUAAAUGGAAUGAUGGUUUUUUCUAUCAGAUAUUUCCUGUAAACGUAAAAGGUUCAGCAGGAAGUUUAGUAAAUUUGUUCAGCUGGUCUGGGAGUUGGAUUGUUGCAUAUACUUUCAAUUAUUUGUUUGAGUGGAGCUCAGCAGGUAACUGCCUCUCCUCUGCCUGUCUUGAAGUUCUGUAAAAAAAAUUAUAGUAUCACUGAACUAACUAAAGUUCAUUGAGUCACUUUCUUAAUCUCUUAUGCUAUGGUAUUUCCUAUACAUGAUUUCAGGGGUAUUUCUGAUUUAUGCAAUCAUUGCUGGCUUGGGAGUUAUAUUUGUGGCAAAUUUGGUGCCAGAGACAAAGGGGCGAGCACUUGAAGAGAUACAAGCAUCAUUGAUUGCCUAGACUUAGUCCACCUGUGAUCCAAAAUACAAAUAUGUGGAACUCAUAUAUUUAAUAAGUGAAUAUCAUAUAUCUUGUGUCUUAAGUACAAGAUAAAUCGAGUUCAGGCAAAAAAAAAAAAAAUCCAUGCGAGGAUAAUGGGGUUGAGAUUUUAUGAGAUGGGUUCAAACAAUAUCAAGCAUAAUAACCCAAGAAAUUUAAUUUAAGUGAUUUUUCAUUGCUUAUAAGAUAUCAAAAUUACACUUCAUAUGUGG